RNAcentral lists this non-coding RNA (143 nucleotides) under Streptacidiphilus jiangxiensis. Its description in RNAcentral is "SAM-I sequence". It matches the Rfam family "SAM riboswitch aptamer (S box leader)". From Rfam's summary of the family: The SAM riboswitch is found upstream of a number of genes which code for proteins involved in methionine or cysteine biosynthesis in Gram-positive bacteria. Lineage: Bacteria; Bacillati; Actinomycetota; Actinomycetes; Kitasatosporales; Streptomycetaceae. The record is from Rfam by way of RNAcentral.
GAAUCAUCCAGAGGGGUGGAGGGACCGGCCCUACGAAGCCCCGGCAACUCCCCGGUGGACGUGGUGUGCGCAAUGCACGCCCCGCCGCAGGGGUCAGUGCCAACUCCGGCCUGCCGCCAACGUGGCGCGGGUAAAGAUGAGGA